This 19-nucleotide non-coding RNA is filed under the name Arabidopsis thaliana (thale cress). Lineage: Eukaryota; Viridiplantae; Streptophyta; Magnoliopsida; Brassicales; Brassicaceae. The record is from RNAcentral.
ACGUCUGCCUGGGUGUCAC